AACGAACGCUGGCGGCAUGCCUAACACAUGCAAGUCGAACGAGACCUUCGGGUCUAGUGGCGCACGGGUGCGUAACGCGUGGGAACCUGCCCUUAGGUUCGGAAUAACUCCCCGAAAGGGGUGCUAAUACCGGAUAAUGUCUUCGGACCAAAGAUUUAUCGCCUUUGGAUGGGCCCGCGUUGGAUUAGCUAGUUGGUAGGGUAAAAGCCUACCAAGGUGACGAUCCAUAGCUGGUCAGAGAGGAUGAUCAGCCACACUGGGACUGAGACACGGCCCAGACUCCUACGGGAGGCAGCAGUGGGGAAUAUUGGACAAUGGGCGAAAGCCUGAUCCAGCAAUGCCGCGUGAGUGAUGAAGGCCUUAGGGUUGUAAAGCUCUUUUACCCGGGAUGAUAAUGACAGUACCGGGAGAAGAAGCACCGGCUAACUCCGUG
RNAcentral lists this ribosomal RNA (433 nucleotides) under uncultured bacterium. RNAcentral's name for it is "partial 16S ribosomal RNA". It matches the Rfam family "Bacterial small subunit ribosomal RNA", at positions 29 to 507 of the family's 1533-position model. The record is from RNAcentral.